CAUGCAGUCGAGCGGAACGAAGGGAGCUUGCUCCCAGGCGUCGAGCGGCGAACGGGUGAGUAACGCGUAGGAAUCUGCCUGGUAGAGGGGGAUAGCUCGGGGAAACUCGAAUUAAUACCGCAUACGCCCUACGGGGGAAAGCAGGGGAUCUUCGGACCUUGCGCUAUCAGAUGAGCCUGCGUCGGAUUAGCUAGUUGGUGGGGUAAAGGCCCACCAAGGCGACGAUCCGUAACUGGUCUGAGAGGAUGAUCAGUCACACCGGAACUGAGACACGGUCCGGACUCCUACGGGAGGCAGCAGUGGGGAAUAUUGGACAAUGGGGGCAACCCUGAUCCAGCCAUGCCGCGUGUGUGAAGAAGGCCUUCGGGUUGUAAAGCACUUUAAGCAGGGAGGAAAGGCGAAAGGCUAAUACCCUUUCGAGUUGACGUUACCUGCAGAAUAAGCACCGGCUAACUUCGUGCCAGCAGCCGCGGUAAUACGAAGGGUGCAAGCGUUAAUCGGAAUUACUGGGCGUAAAGCGCGCGUAGGCGGUUUGAUCAGUUGGAUGUGAAAGCCCAGGGCUCAACCUUGGAACUGCAUUCAAUACUGUCAGGCUAGAGUACGGGAGAGGGGGGUAGAAUUCCACGUGUAGCGGUGAAAUGCGUAGAGAUGUGGAGGAAUACCGGUGGCGAAAGCCGGCCCCCUGGAUCGAUACUGACGCUGAGGUGCGAAAGCGUGGGGAGCAAACAGG
Molecule: ribosomal RNA, 730 nt
Filed under: uncultured bacterium
Lineage: Bacteria
Description: bacterial SSU rRNA
Rfam family: Bacterial small subunit ribosomal RNA
Source: RNAcentral